This 1324-nucleotide ribosomal RNA is filed under the name metagenome. RNAcentral's name for it is "bacterial LSU rRNA". It matches the Rfam family "Bacterial large subunit ribosomal RNA", at positions 1561 to 2925 of the family's 2925-position model. The record is from RNAcentral.
AGUGGAUGGGGAGCAACCUAGUUGUGCGUGUGUAAAGGUAGUGCCAAGAAAAGCGAAGAUCAUGUUGAAAAUCAAUUCCCGGUACCCGAAACCGACACAGGUGGGCAAGUAGAGAAUACUAAGGGGCGCGAGGUAACUCUCUCCAAGGAACUCGGCAAAAUGACCCCGUAACUUAGGGAGAAGGGGUGCCACCGAGAGGUGGUCGCAGUGAAGAGGCCCAGGCGACUGUUUAGCAAAAACAUAGGUCUCUGCAAACUCGAAAGAGGAGGUAUAGGGGCUGACGCCUGCCCAGUGCCGGAAGGUUAAAGAAGUUGGUCAGUUUUAGGAUGAAGCUAGCGACUGAAGCCCCGGUGAACGGCGGCCGUAACUAUAACGGUCCUAAGGUAGCGAAAUUCCUUGUCGGGUAAGUUCCGACCCGCACGAAAGGCGUAACGAUCUGGGCGCUGUCUCGGAGAGAGGCUCGGCGAAAUAGGAUUGUCUGUGAAGAUACGGACUACCUGCAUUUGGACAGAAAGACCCUAUGAAGCUUUACUAUAGCUUGGAAUUGUGUUCGGGCUUCCUGUGCGCAGGAUAGGUGGGAGGCGUAGAAGGUAUUCUUGUGGGGAUACUGGAGCCAACGGUGAGAUACCACUCUCAGGAGGCUAGAAUUCUAACUUAAUUAAGGACAGUUUCAGGUGGGUAGUUUGACUGGGGCGGUCGCCUCCAAAAAGGUAACGGAGGCGUACAAAGGUUCCCUCAGACUGGUUGGAAAUCAGUCGAAGAGUGCAAAGGCAGAAGGGAGCUUGACUGCGAGAAGUACAGUUCGAGCAGGGUGGAAACACGGUCUUAGUGAUCCGACGGUCUGUGUGGAAGGGCCGUCGCUCAACGGAUAAAAGUUACUCUAAGGAUAACAGGCUGAUCUCCCCCAAGAGUUCACAUCGACGGGGAGGUUUGGCACCUCGAUGUCGGCUCAUCGCAACCUGGGGCGGAAGUACGUCCCAAGGGUUGGGCUGUUCGCCCAUUAAAGCGGUACGUGAGCUGGGUUCAGAACGUCGUGAGACAGUUCGGCCCAUAUCCGAUGUAGGCGUGAGAAUAUUGAGAGGAGCCUUCCUUAGUACGAGAGGACCGGGAAGGACGCACCGCUGGUGUACCUGUUAUGAUGCCAAUUGUAAACGCAGGGUAGCCAAGUGCGGAGAGGAUAACCGCUGAAAGCAUCUAAGUGGGAAGCCCACCUCAAGAUGAGUAUUCUGGUGUAAGGUCACGGGAAGACGACCCGUAAAUAGGCACGAGGUGGAAGUGCAGAGAUGUAUGAAGCCGAAGUGUACUAAUAGACCGUCGGCUUGAC